GAAGUAAAAGUCGUAACAAGGUCUCCGUUGGUGAACCAGCGGAGGGAUCAUUACUGAGUUUACGCUCUACAACCCUUUGUGAACAUACCUACAACUGUUGCUUCGGCGGGUAGGGUCUCCGCGACCCUCCCGGCCUCCCGCCUCCGGGCGGGUCGGCGCCCGCCGGAGGAUAACCAAACUCUGAUUUAACGACGUUUCUUCUGAGUGGUACAAGCAAAUAAUCAAAACUUUUAACAACGGAUCUCUUGGUUCUGGCAUCGAUGAAGAACGCAGCGAAAUGCGAUAAGUAAUGUGAAUUGCAGAAUUCAGUGAAUCAUCGAAUCUUUGAACGCACAUUGCGCCCGCCAGCAUUCUGGCGGGCAUGCCUGUUCGAGCGUCAUUUCAACCCUCAAGCUCUGCUUGGUGUUGGGGCCCUACAGCCGAUGUAGGCCCUCAAAGGUAGUGGCGGACCCUCCCGGAGCCUCCUUUGCGUAGUAACUUUACGUCUCGCACUGGGAUCCGGAGGGACUCUUGCCGUAAAACCCCCCAAUUUUCCAAAGGUUGACCUCGGAUCAGGUAGGAAUACCCGCUGAACUUAAGCAUAUC
RNAcentral lists this ribosomal RNA (585 nucleotides) under Colletotrichum gloeosporioides. Its description in RNAcentral is "eukaryotic LSU rRNA". The stretch from base 226 to 379 matches the Rfam family "5.8S ribosomal RNA". Lineage: Eukaryota; Fungi; Ascomycota; Sordariomycetes; Glomerellales; Glomerellaceae. The record is from RNAcentral.